This 139-nucleotide small nucleolar RNA is filed under the name Sinocyclocheilus grahami. Lineage: Eukaryota; Metazoa; Chordata; Actinopteri; Cypriniformes; Cyprinidae. The record is from RNAcentral.
UGCAGAAGUGUUGAGUUCAGUACUGGGCUUUCUCCCCCGGUUCUGGUAAUUAAUCUUUGGUACAGAAACUGGCUGAGUGAGAAUAGAAAUAUGAAGUGGUUAUGCUUUGACCACCUUCAUCAAACUUCAGCCUACAUUA